UACGGAGGGUGCAAGCGUUGUUCGGAAUUACUGGGCGUAAAGCGCGUGUAGGCGGUCGCAUAAGUCUGAUGUGAAAGCCCGGGGCUCAACCCCGGAAGUGCAUUGGAAACUGCGCGACUAGAGUGUCGGAGAGGAGGGUGGAAUUCCUGGUGUAGCGGUGAAAUGCGUAGAUAUCAGGAGGAACACCGGUGGCGAAGGCGGCCCUCUGGACGAAUACUGACGCUGAGACGCGAAAGCGUGGGGAGCAAACAGG
RNAcentral lists this ribosomal RNA (253 nucleotides) under uncultured bacterium. RNAcentral describes it as "partial 16S ribosomal RNA". It matches the Rfam family "Bacterial small subunit ribosomal RNA", at positions 524 to 776 of the family's 1533-position model. The record is from RNAcentral.